AUGAACGCUGGCGGCGUGUCUAAGGCAUGCAAGUCGAACGACAAAGUGGCAAACGGGUGCGUAAGACAGUGAUAACCUACCCCGAAGACAGGGAUAACCAUUGGAAACGAUGGCUAAUACCUGAUAGUCAUGAAGUGGCAUAAGUCACAUCAUGUAAAUGAUUUCUCGCUUCGGGAGGGAUCUUUGGCCCAUCAGCUAGUUGGUAGGGUAAUGGCCUACCAAGGCAACGACGGGUAGCGGGUGUGAGAGCAUGACCCGCCUCACUGGGACUGAGACACUGCCCAGACACCUACGGGUGGCUGCAGUCGAGAAUCUUCCCCAAUGGACGAAAGUCUGAGGGAGCGACGCCGCGUGCAGGAAGACGCCUUUCGGGGUGUAAACUGCUUUUCUGUGGGAAAAAUUAGCGAUUGUACCACAGGAAUAAGGGGCUGCUAACUUCGU
Molecule: ribosomal RNA, 441 nt
Filed under: uncultured bacterium
Lineage: Bacteria
Description: bacterial SSU rRNA
Rfam family: Bacterial small subunit ribosomal RNA
Source: RNAcentral